AUUUAAAUAGCUUAUAUUAGUAGAGUAUAAUAUUGAAGAUAUUAGGGAGAUUACAUUAAUCUUUAAAUA
This 69-nucleotide transfer RNA is filed under the name Sitochroa verticalis. RNAcentral describes it as "tRNA-Phe". Lineage: Eukaryota; Metazoa; Arthropoda; Insecta; Lepidoptera; Crambidae. The record is from RNAcentral.